AAUAUGGGCCAAUGGGGCCAACCCGGACCAACCCUUGCCGCUGUGUGGAAAAAGGUCUUGGAUUUUAAAACACCUUUAGGUUGGAAGGAAGGCUUUAGGGCAAUUACCCUAAGGUUUUAACUUAACCACCGAAUUAGCACCCGGCAACCCCUUUGCAGCCACCGCGGGAAUACGAAGGGUGCAAGCGUUAAUCGGAAUUACUGGGCGUAAAGCGCGCGUAGGUGGUUUGUUAAGUUGGAAGUGAAAGCCCCGGGCUCAACCUGGGAACUGCUUUCAAAACUGGCAAGCUAGAGUAUGGCAGAGGGUGGUGGAAUUUCCUGUGUAGCGGUGAAAUGCGUAGAUAUAGGAAGGAACACCAGUGGCGAAGGCGACCACCUGGGCUAAUACUGACACUGAGGUGCGAAAGCGUGGGGAGCAAACAG
Molecule: ribosomal RNA, 422 nt
Filed under: uncultured bacterium
Lineage: Bacteria
Description: partial 16S ribosomal RNA
Rfam family: Bacterial small subunit ribosomal RNA
Source: RNAcentral